Long non-coding RNA from Dreissena polymorpha, 2030 nucleotides. RefSeq lists it as uncharacterized. Lineage: Eukaryota; Metazoa; Mollusca; Bivalvia; Myida; Dreissenidae. The record is from RefSeq and is a predicted model, not a curated record. The transcript is spliced from 3 exons.
UGAAAUUCUUUCAGCACAUGAACUAUUGUGUGAUGAAAACAAUGUGUAUUUACUACAAUGUGUAAAUCAACAAUAAGUUUGUUGCAAAGAAGAUUCAAAGUGGGUGGUUAAAGUGAUCAACAACUGCCGUUUUUGUUUUUUUGGAAUGCUGAAGAACAGCUGUAACAGGUUAAACCCCAAGGUGAAAUUUACAUUGAUCGGAAGAUCCAUUGGACAGAAUGUGCAUCAUCGCCUGCCAAAAAAGGGAGCAAAAAGGGGACUACCUGAUGUAUGGACAUGUAUACCAGGCCAACUUGAGGGGAACAGGAGUGGGAAACCGUGCCCUGUAGCUUGUCCUUGACCAAGAAAAGAUGGAUUUGUUGAGAGGACCUGAUCUCAAAUGAGAUCAUGCACGAGAAGCGCCUCGCAGACCAUGACAGUAGUAUUCAGACCUGGUCAGCUGGUGAAGUGCUCUAUAAAGGGUUGUUUAUGAAUGCAUUCUUUGUAAGAAACAGUGUAUAACAACAAAUAUAGUGACAGGGGCUAAGCUGCUAAAUAUUGUCAGCAUGUAUGCAGUGAUUUUCUUUGGAAAUUCAAAACAACCUGUACGUACUGGCUCUCAGAAGGGCAUGUUUUAGCGCAAUAAUGAACAAAAAAAGGAAGAUCUUAAAAAUAAGGUAUAGAUUUAUAUAAAUUUCAUGAAUACUGUUCAUUUAUCAUAUAUUAGGAUCCAGAAUAUGAUUGAAUUAAAUGUACUGCUUUUGUCCAUAUUAAAAAGGAAUUAAUGUAAUAUAAAAAAAUCUAGUAAAUGAUAGGGAAAACAUUUCAGCUUAAGGAGGGGAAAUCUUUAAUAUUUUUGAAGUGGAAACCACCUGUAUUUGGCUGUUAAUCAGUUACCGAUAAUCAGGGGGGAGAAAAAUCACUGGUAUGAGCUUGAUAUUUUCAAUUGUUAAUUCCAGAUAGGCAAUAGCCCGUUUGAAUCCUCUCUUUUAUGUAGAUAUGUAACAUUUGUUUUUGUUUUUUAAGGUUUAACAUUCUAAUAAAAGUGUGUAUUUAUCUAUUGAAUUGUACUUUUUGUUUUUUAUGUAUGUGUUUACACUAACCUUUCAUUUAAAGAAUGAAUGCUGACUUCAAAAUGCUGGGAUUUUUUUUAAAUUUGGUUAAUUUUUAAGCAUAUUAAUUUGAAGUGAUGAAAAGUACACUUGAGCGUAUAAUGCGCUUCAAAAAUUCACUUCCAACACUUCAAAAAGUGUAUCAUUUGUAUGACUGAAAAUGCACUCAAGUGUAUUAAUGCGCUUAAAAAUUCACUUUUAAUAUUGUAAGGUGUAUUAUUUGUAUGACCGGGAAUGCACUCAAGUGUAUUAAUGCGCUUAAAAAAAAUCACUUUCAAUUUUGUAAGGUGUAUUAUUUGUAUCAGUGGAAAUGCACUCAAGUGUAUUAAUGCGCUUACAAAAAUUCACUUUGAAUACUCAAUGAAGUGUAUUAUUUGUAUGACUGAAAAUGCACUCAAGUGUAUUAAUGCGCUUAAAAAUUCACUUUUAAUAUUGUAAGGUGUAUUAUUUGUAUGACCGGGAAUGCACUCAAGUGUAUUAAUGCGCUUAAAAAAAUUCACUUUCAAUUUUGUAAGGUGUAUUAUUUGUAUCAGUGGAAAUGCACUCAAGUGUAUUAAUGCGCUUACAAAAAUUCACUUUGAAUACUCAAUGAAGUGUAUUAUUUGUAUGACUGGAAAUGCACUCAAGUGUAUUAAUGCGCUUAAAUAAUUUGCUUUUAAUUCUGUAAUGUGUAUUAUUUGAAUGACUGGAAAUGCACUCAAGUGUAUAAAUGCGCUUUAAAAAAUUUACUUUGACCAUGAAGUGUAUUAUUUGUAUGUCUUAAAAUACACUCAAGUGUAUAAAUGCACUUAAAAAUAAACUUAAGCGCACUUAUUAUCAUAAUAAACGCACUUAAGUGUAUUAUUUCGUGGAAAAAAAAUACACUUAAAUGUAUAAACACACUAGUAAAAAGUGUUUUUUUUUAACAGAUUAAAAUGCACUUGUUAAGCAAAAAAUACG